CAGUAGCCACGGGAAAACAGAGGGUGCAAGCGUUAAUCGGAAUUAUUGGGCGUAAAGGGCUUGUAGGUGGUUAUAUAAGUUAGAUGUGAAAACCCUGGGCUCAACCUGGGACGUGCAUUUAAUACUGUAUGACUAGAGUAUGGUAGAGGAAAGGGGAAUUCCUGGUGUAGCAGUGAAAUGCGUAGAGAUCAGGAGGAACAUCGGUGGCGAAGGCGCCUUUCUGGACUAAUACUGACACUGAGGAGCGAAGGCGUGGGGAGCAAACAGGAUUAGAUACCCGCGUAGUCCCUGUCUCUUAUAC
This 301-nucleotide ribosomal RNA is filed under the name uncultured bacterium. RNAcentral describes it as "partial 16S ribosomal RNA". It matches the Rfam family "Bacterial small subunit ribosomal RNA", at positions 509 to 807 of the family's 1533-position model. The record is from RNAcentral.